UGGAAUCUCCCUUAUGAAUUCAUCAAUAGUAGCAGCACCACUCUCAUCUCUCAAAUUUUUUAAAUGAAAGUAGAAAGACUUCUCAGUCGAUGCAUAAGCCACUUUAAAGAAUUUUUGUAACACAUCAGCAACAACAAUUUCCCCUCCUUUGUUCUUAUACUUUCGACUAAGGUUGUAUCGCAAAUGAUGAUAACAGUAAAGAUGAGGAUUACUAGGAAAAAUGAGAUCAAAUGCCUUCAACAAACCAACACCACGAUCACUAAUGAAUGUGAUAAUCCUUCCUUGCGGUUCCAACAAAGCCUUCAAGUUCUUGAAGAAAAACAACCAGUUUUCUUCAGUCUCUGAAUCACAAAAACACAAGGCUAAAUGGAAGAAACCUGCAUAAUAAAAAAACAAACAAACAAU
Molecule: long non-coding RNA, 405 nt
Filed under: Fragaria vesca (wild strawberry)
Lineage: Eukaryota; Viridiplantae; Streptophyta; Magnoliopsida; Rosales; Rosaceae
Description: long non-coding RNA (FVES_LNC005086)
Source: RNAcentral